Molecule: ribosomal RNA, 494 nt
Filed under: uncultured bacterium
Lineage: Bacteria
Description: partial 16S ribosomal RNA
Rfam family: Bacterial small subunit ribosomal RNA
Source: RNAcentral
GACGAACGCUGGCGGCGUGCUUAACACAUGCAAGUCGAACGGUGAAGCGCCUUCCUUUUUGGUGUGUGUUUAUGAGUGGCGAACUGGUUAGUAACACGUUAGUAACCUGCCCCCUUCUGCUGGAUAACCGCAUGAAAUUGUUACUAAUACGUGAUAUUCUGGAUCUGUCGCAUGAUGGGUCUGGGAAAGAUAUUGUUUCGGUUGGGGAUGGGCUCGCGCCCUAUCAGCUUGUUGGUGGGGUGAUGGCCUACCAAGGCGGUGACGGGUAGCCGGCCUGAGAGGGUGGGCGGUAACACAGGGACUGAGACACGGACCAGACUCCUACGGGAGGCAGCAGGGAGGAAUAUUGAACAAUGGGAGCAAGCAUGAUGCAGCGCCGCCGCGUGAGGGAUGGAGGCCUUAGGGUUGUGAACCUCUUUCGGUAGUGAAGAAGGGCUGCAUCGUCUGUGGGUGGGUUGACGGUAGCUGGAUAAGAAGCGACGGCUAACUACGUG